Erinaceus europaeus (western European hedgehog) is the source of this 516-nucleotide long non-coding RNA. RefSeq lists it as uncharacterized. The record is from RefSeq and is a predicted model, not a curated record. NCBI's taxonomy places the organism in Eukaryota, Metazoa, Chordata, Mammalia, Eulipotyphla, Erinaceidae. The transcript is spliced from 3 exons.
GAAAAUAAAUAUCCCAGACAGACGAGGCUCUUUCCUAAGAGGAUCUGAGUCUGCUCCAGGGCUCAGGGUCCUGCUGUUCAGUUCAGAAAAAGAACAGUGACCUUGCUGUAAGCCCUCUAGAAUGCCUGGCCCGAACACCUUCCUCAAGGCAGCACUGCAGCUUUCUGAUAACUCAGCAGACAGACGCCAAGGAGACAGGGAGAAGAGGAAACAGGAAGUGAGAAGAGGGGCGGAAGCUGAGGAGAGGCAGUUCUGUACUUAGCAAUUUUCCAGAGUCUUAAAGGUGAAGUGUCUAACGCUGGAUUCUGUUCCUAGAGUGUGUUUGCCAUCGCCGUCUUCCGUGGCCCGAGCGUCUCUGAAUGUGGUCCUUUGUGCCUUGGUGCAGAAAUGGUGUAUUUUUGUGGUCUAGGAUCCAGUCUAGGAUCACAAGGCAUCUUUCUUUAGGCUCCUUUAGUCUAAAUGUCCCUCUGCUGCUAUUUCAUGGCCGUCACAUUUUUUGAGAGUACUGACAGACUC